RNAcentral lists this ribosomal RNA (200 nucleotides) under uncultured eubacterium A21-K3. RNAcentral describes it as "partial 16S ribosomal RNA". It matches the Rfam family "Bacterial small subunit ribosomal RNA", at positions 388 to 580 of the family's 1533-position model. The record is from RNAcentral.
GGAGCAACGCCGCGUGAGUGAUGAAGGUCUUCGGAUCGUAAAACUCUGUUAUUAGGGAAGAACAAAUGUGUAAGUAACUAUGCACGUCUUGACGGUACCUAAUCAGAAAGCCACGGCUAACUACGUGCCAGCAGCCGCGGUAAUACGUAGGUGGCAAGCGUUAUCCGGAAUUAUUGGGCGUAAAGCGCGCGUAGGCGGUU